Molecule: transfer RNA, 97 nt
Organism: Cyphellophora europaea CBS 101466
Lineage: Eukaryota; Fungi; Ascomycota; Eurotiomycetes; Chaetothyriales; Cyphellophoraceae
Rfam family: tRNA
About the family: Transfer RNA (tRNA) molecules are approximately 80 nucleotides in length.
Source: Rfam
GGGGGUAUAGCUCAGUGGUAGAGCAUCAGAUUGCAGUGCGUUCGAAUAUCGACGCGGAAUAAUCUGAGGGUCCGUUGUUCGAGCCAGCGUGCUCCCU